Molecule: microRNA precursor, 63 nt
Filed under: Otolemur garnettii (small-eared galago)
Lineage: Eukaryota; Metazoa; Chordata; Mammalia; Primates; Galagidae
Description: miRNA (ENSOGAG00000021046.2)
Source: RNAcentral
UGUGCGUGCGUGCGUGUGUGUGUGUGUGUGUGUGUGCACAAGGCAUGCCACAUGCACACACCC